RNAcentral lists this ribosomal RNA (468 nucleotides) under uncultured bacterium. Its description in RNAcentral is "partial 16S ribosomal RNA". It matches the Rfam family "Bacterial small subunit ribosomal RNA", at positions 28 to 507 of the family's 1533-position model. The record is from RNAcentral.
GACGAACGCUGGCGGCGUGCCUAAUACAUGCAAGUCGAACGGACAGGCCCUGCGCUUGUGGGGUGCUCGAGUGGCGAACGGGUGAGUAACACGCGAGUAUCCUGCCCUUGUCUUAGGGGUAACUUCAGGAAACAGGGGAUAAUACCGGAUAGGAGCUCCUGCUGCGCGGGGGGGGUUGGAAAGUUUCGGCGGUUGGGGAUGGACUCGCGGCUUAUCAGCUUGUUGGUGGGGUAGUGGCUGACCAAGGCUUUGACGGGUAGCCGGCCUGAGAGGGUGACCGGCCACAUUGGGACUGGGAUACGGCCCAGACUCCUACGGGCGGCAGCAGUGGGAAAUAUUGCGCAAUGGGCGGAAGCCUGAUGCAGCAACGCCGCGUGCGGGAUGACGGCUUUCGGGUUAUAAACCGCUUUCGCCGGUGACGAAGCGUGAGUGACGGUAAUGGGUAAAAAAGCACCGGCUAACUACGUG